RNAcentral lists this ribosomal RNA (468 nucleotides) under uncultured bacterium. RNAcentral describes it as "partial 16S ribosomal RNA". It matches the Rfam family "Bacterial small subunit ribosomal RNA", at positions 28 to 507 of the family's 1533-position model. The record is from RNAcentral.
GACGAACGCUGGCGGCGUGCUUAACACAUGCCAGUCGAACGGAAAGGCCCUGCUUUUGUGGGGUGCUCGAGUGGCGAACGGGUGAGUAACACGUGAGUAACCUGCCCUUGACUUUGGGAUAACUUCAGGAAACUGGGUCUAAUACCGGAUAGGAGCUCCUGCUGCAUGGUGGGGGUUGGAAAGUUUCGGCGGUUGGGGAUGGACUCGCGGCUUAUCAGCUUGUUGGUGGGGUAGUGGCUUACCAAGGCUUUGACGGGUAGCCGGCCUGAGAGGGUGACCGGCCACAUUGGGACUGAGAUACGGCCCAGACUCCUACGGGAGGCAGCAGUGGGGAAUAUUGCACAAUGGGCGGAAGCCUGAUGCAGCAACGCCGCGUGCGGGAUGACGGCCUUCGGGUUGUAAACCGCUUUCGCCUGUGACGAAGCGUGAGUGACGGUAAUGGGUAAAGAAGCACCGGCUAACUACGUG